Molecule: ribosomal RNA, 429 nt
Filed under: Bacteroidota bacterium
Lineage: Bacteria; Pseudomonadati; Bacteroidota
Description: Bacteroidetes bacterium partial 16S ribosomal RNA
Rfam family: Bacterial small subunit ribosomal RNA
Source: RNAcentral
UAGGGAAUCUUCCGCAAUGGGCGCAAGUCUGACGGAGCAACGCCGCGUGAGUGAAGAAGGAUUUCGGUUCGUAAAACUCUGUUGUUAGAGAAGAACAGCGCAUAGAGUAACUGUUAUGCGUGUGACGGUAUCUAACCAGAAAGCCACGGCUAACUACGUGCCAGCAGCCGCGGUAAUACGUAGGUGGCAAGCGUUGUCCGGAUUUAUUGGGCGUAAAGCGAGCGCAGGCGGUCAAUUAAGUCUGAUGUGAAAGCCCCCGGCUCAACCGGGGAGGGUCAUUGGAAACUGGUUGACUUGAGUGCAGAAGAGGAGAGUGGAAUUCCAUGUGUAGCGGUGAAAUGCGUAGAUAUAUGGAGGAACACCAGUGGCGAAGGCGACUCUCUGGUCUGUAACUGACGCUGAGGCUCGAAAGCGUGGGUAGCAAACAGG